UAACCUCCUUUACGUAAAGUUUUGAACUUUAGCAGAUCCUUUCUUGAUUUUGUUUCCUACUUCCGUUGGUUUUGUGCAGCUUAAGUGGGGACCUUGUGUGGACGAUUUUAAUGUUUCCAGGUUCACUGUUACUGACUUUGUCUCGACAGGAUCGACUUGAUGACAGAGAAUCAAAUAGCUCCAAAGAUCGUUUACAGUCAAAUGUAAAGGUUAGCAAUGCUGCCCGUCAGCUUUUAAACGCCUCCAGUCAAAAAGUACCUCCGAAAGUUUUGUUAGGAAACUAUGUGAAAAUUCCUUUAGCUGGCAAAAGCAUCUAUCAAGAAACAAAACCAGCAGCUAGUAAUGUAGAUCAGAUAAAUGCAAAAGGUAUUCUCCAAAGUAUAAACGAAGUUUUAUUAUGCUGUCAAGAAAAUACACGACUACUAGCAGAAUUGACACCAAAAGUAACUCCACUCUCAAACUAAUUGACUGUGCUAUCAGAGAACAUUAACAAUCUUCCAAAUCAAGCAACUGCAGUUCGUUACAUUAAACCGGACUUCUUACCGUUCAAAACAGUUGAAGAGGUGGACGGGUACAACGAUUUUAGUGAAGAUGAACGUGCUAAAUUAAGACAUUAUCUGAGUGCCUUCUGCGGUGGCCAAGAUGUAACGGAAAAUGUCAAAUUUUUUUUGAAGAACAACUUAUUAUUCGAUGAUAAAUUACUGACCACAUAUAAUUUUGCACAGCCAUCACAGAAAAAAUCCAAUGUCUUCCUUGGCACGGCGAUUGAUCACGAUCUUUUUAGUGUAUUGCGUGUGAUGUUUCCCACAAUCCAAUCUAAAGAAUAUCACGAGUCUUCAAAAUCGGCAUUAAAAAAUGCAGAUAUGCGAGUAGCUAAGAAGCCCUUCGUCCAAAGAACAUCGCAAACUACUUAAGAAUUUGAAUAUCAAGAAGACGA
Microplitis demolitor is the source of this 937-nucleotide long non-coding RNA. RefSeq lists it as uncharacterized. The transcript is spliced from 6 exons. The record is from RefSeq and is a predicted model, not a curated record. Lineage: Eukaryota; Metazoa; Arthropoda; Insecta; Hymenoptera; Braconidae.